This is a long non-coding RNA of Osmerus eperlanus (European smelt), 423 nucleotides long. RefSeq lists it as uncharacterized. The record is from RefSeq and is a predicted model, not a curated record. The transcript has 3 exons. Lineage: Eukaryota; Metazoa; Chordata; Actinopteri; Osmeriformes; Osmeridae.
CGCACAAAUAAUCCCGGGAAGCAAGUACACGUUGUAUAAUUCACAAACGCGCCUACCGAAGGAAAGAUCCAGUCCGUGUGUUCGUUGCUGAUCCGUUUACCGGUUUCUUCUUCCGUCCCUGCACCGCAGCGCAUUAAAGCAUGUCGAACCAAACCGUCCAAUGAGCGUUCAGAACAACAAGGCAUGGUGCCUGUCCACAUGGGCACCCGCUCGGCCUGAGCGCGGCUCAUUUGCAUGGCGAGAGCGUGACCAGCCACCCCGCUGUCUCGGGACCAGACCUGUCAAUCAAACUGUCAUUCACUAUUCCGCCCCCUCUGAUGUGGGUGUGAACGUGUCUCCUCCUCACAGAGAGUGAAGGAAGGUCCCCACACACCAGCUAAGAUAGAAUGAAAGCUGAGUGCCAAAGAAAAGGGUGGGGGGGGG